CCUGCGGAAGGAUCAUUAAUGAAUUCACUAUGGAGUUGUUGCUGGCCUCUAGGGGCAUGUGCACGCUUCACUAGUCUUUCAACCACCUGUGAACUUUUGAUAGAUCUGUGAAGUCGUCUCUCAAGUCGUCAGACUUGGUUGCUGGGAUUUAAACGUCUCGGUGUGACUACGCAGUCUAUUUACUUACACACCCCAAAUGUAUGUCUACGAAUGUCAUUUAAUGGGCCUUGUGCCUAUAAACCAUAAUACAACUUUCAACAACGGAUCUCUUGGCUCUCGCAUCGAUGAAGAACGCAGCGAAAUGCGAUAAGUAAUGUGAAUUGCAGAAUUCAGUGAAUCAUCAAAUCUUUGAACGCACCUUGCGCCCCUUGGUAUUCCGAGGGGCAUGCCUGUUUGAGUGUCAUUAAAUUCUCAAACUCACUUUGGUUUCUUUCCAAUUGUGAUGUUUGGAUUGUAGGGGGCUGCUGGCCUUGACAGGUCGGCUCCUCUUAAAUGCAUUAGCAGGACUUCUCAUUGCCUCUGCGCAUGAUGUGAUAAUUAUCACUCAUCAAUAGCACGCAUGAAUAGAGUCCAGCUCUCUAAUCGUCCGCAAGGACAAUUUGACAAUUUGACCUC
Molecule: ribosomal RNA, 615 nt
Filed under: Pleurotus ostreatus (oyster mushroom)
Lineage: Eukaryota; Fungi; Basidiomycota; Agaricomycetes; Agaricales; Pleurotaceae
Description: eukaryotic LSU rRNA
Rfam family: 5.8S ribosomal RNA (bases 250-403)
Source: RNAcentral